AAUGGAUUUAGGGCUGUGCAGAAUGUGCUUUGUUAAACAAGUGCUUGAAGGCAGUAUGCUUGGUAAAAGUCAUCGCCAUUCUCUAAUCUUGAGUACCCAGGGACACGAUACACUGCGGAAGGCUGCAGGGACCUCUGCCCAGGAAAGCCAGGAGCCAGAAAAACUUCAUCUCUUUUACAAGAAACAUUGAGAUUCCUGUAAAAUUAAGAAAUCACACAAUUUGAUGGUCUACAUUAUCUAAAGCAAAUGAGACUUCUAUUUGGAACAAAGACUACCUUGUUGGGAAAUGAGUCUGCAAGUUAAAGUGUUUUCUGGACAUGAUGCUGACUUUGAAGAUGCAAGCUUCCACAUCUACAGCCUCAAGGAAACAAAUUCAGCCAACCAACUGAGGGAGCUUUCCUUGUCCUGCCUCAAGAUGAGAUCACAGUCUGCCCAACACCAUGAUUUAGGCCUUGUGACACCUGGUAUGGAAGACCCAGUUAAGUUCUCUCCAAACUCUUGACCCACAGAACCUGUGAGAAAAUAUAUGGAUAUUAUUUUAAACUGCUAAAUUUGUAGUAAUUUGUUAUGCAGCAAUAAAAAAAACUAAUGCAAGGAGAUAUCAA
Molecule: long non-coding RNA, 605 nt
Filed under: Homo sapiens (human)
Lineage: Eukaryota; Metazoa; Chordata; Mammalia; Primates; Hominidae
Description: HIF1A stabilizing long noncoding RNA
Source: RNAcentral